This 377-nucleotide ribosomal RNA is filed under the name uncultured bacterium. Its description in RNAcentral is "bacterial SSU rRNA". It matches the Rfam family "Bacterial small subunit ribosomal RNA", at positions 790 to 1167 of the family's 1533-position model. The record is from RNAcentral.
GUAGUCCACGCCGUAAACGUUGGGAACUAGAUGUGGGGUCCAUUCCACGGAUUCCGUGUCGCAGCUAACGCAUUAAGUUCCCAGCCUGGGGAGUACGGCCGCAAGGCUAAAACUCAAAGGAAUUGACGGGGGCCCGCACAAGCGGCGGAGCAUGCGGAUUAAUUCGAUGCAACGCGAAGAACCUUACCAAGGCUUGACAUGCACCUGAAAAGGCUGGAAACAGUCUCCUCGCAAGACAGGUGCACAGGUGGUGCAUGGUUGUCGUCAGCUCGUGUCGUGAGAUGUUGGGUUAAGUCCCGCAACGAGCGCAACCCUCGUUCUAUGUUGCCAGCGCGUUAUGGCGGGAACUCAUAGGAGACUGCCGGGGUCAACUCGGA